GAUGAAGAACGUAGCAAAAUGCGAUAAGUAAUGUGAAUUGCAGAAUUCAGUGAAUCAUCGAAUCUUUGAACGCACAUUGCGCCCGCCAGUAUUCUGGCGGGCAUGCCUGUUCGAGCGUCAUUUCAACCCUCAAGCACAGCUUGGUGUUGGGACUCGCGUUAAUUCGCGUUCCUCAAAUUGAUUGGCGGUCACGUCGAGCUUCCAUAGCGUAGUAGUAAAACCCUCGUUACUGGUAAUCGUCGCGGCCACGCCGUUAAACCCCAACUUCUGAAUGUCGACCUCGGAUCAGGUAGGAAUACCCGCUGAACUUAAGCAUAUCAAUAAGCGGAGGA
RNAcentral lists this unclassified non-coding RNA (332 nucleotides) under soil metagenome. RNAcentral's name for it is "partial contains 5.8S ribosomal RNA, internal transcribed spacer 2, and large subunit ribosomal RNA". The stretch from base 1 to 120 matches the Rfam family "5.8S ribosomal RNA", at positions 35 to 154 of the family's 154-position model. The record is from RNAcentral.